GAUGAACGCUGGCGGCGUGCCUAAUACAUGCAAGUCGAGCGAACGGACGAGAAGCUUGCUUCUCUGAUGUUAGCGGCGGACGGGUGAGUAACACGUGGAUAACCUACCUAUAAGACUGGGAUAACUUCGGGAAACCGGAGCUAAUACCGGAUGAUAUUUUGAACCGCAUGGUUCAAAAGUGAAAGACGGUCUUGCUGUCACUUAUAGAUGGAUCCGCGCUGCAUUAGCUAGUUGGUAAGGUAACGGCUUACCAAGGCAACGAUGCAUAGCCGACCUGAGAGGGUGAUCGGCCACACUGGAACUGAGACACGGUCCAGACUCCUACGGGAGGCAGCAGUAGGGAAUCUUCCGCAAAGGGCGAAAGCCUGACGGAGCAACGCCGCGUGAGUGAUGAAGGUCUUCGGAUCGUAAAACUCUGUUAUUAGGGAAGAACAUAUGUGCAAGUAACUGUGCACAUCUUGACGGUACCUAAUCAGAAAGCCACGGCUAACUACGUG
This 497-nucleotide ribosomal RNA is filed under the name uncultured bacterium. RNAcentral describes it as "partial 16S ribosomal RNA". It matches the Rfam family "Bacterial small subunit ribosomal RNA", at positions 28 to 507 of the family's 1533-position model. The record is from RNAcentral.